UACGAAGGGUGCAAGCGUUACUCGGAAUUACUGGGCGUAAAGGGUGCGUAGGUGGUCGUUUAAGUCCGUUGUGAAAUCCCUGGGCUCAACCUGGGAAUGGCAGUGGAUACUGGACGGCUAGAAUGCGGUAGAGGGUAGUGGAAUUCCCGGUGUAGCAGUGAAAUGCGUAGAGAUCGGGAGGAACACCAGUGGCGAAGGCGGCUACCUGGACCAGAACUGACGAUCAGGCUCGAAAGCGUGGGGAGCAAACAGG
Molecule: ribosomal RNA, 253 nt
Filed under: uncultured bacterium
Lineage: Bacteria
Description: partial 16S ribosomal RNA
Rfam family: Bacterial small subunit ribosomal RNA
Source: RNAcentral